Ananas comosus (pineapple) is the source of this 452-nucleotide long non-coding RNA. RefSeq lists it as uncharacterized. Lineage: Eukaryota; Viridiplantae; Streptophyta; Magnoliopsida; Poales; Bromeliaceae. The transcript has 2 exons. The record is from RefSeq and is a predicted model, not a curated record.
ACUCCCGCCCACGAAAGACGCCGCCGCCGCCGCCGCCGGCAAGGGCGACGACAAAAAGCCCAAAGAGCCUCCGGAGUCGACGGUGAUGCUCAAGAUCCGGCUCCACUGCGAGGAGUGCAUCGACCGAAUUAGGGUUUCUUCUUUUCUUUUCUUUUUUUUAAUGUGAAGUUAAAUAUUAAUAAUAAUUAGCGGUUGUACGGCGCAGGGUGAAGGAGGUGACGGUCGACACGGCGAAGGACCUAAUCACGGUGAAGGGCCACUUGCUUGAUCAAUUUUAUGAAGUUUCAUGCUUUUUGUCUUCUGUAAUGAUAUUUGAAGUGUAGGUGAAUGAUUGUUUCUAGAUUGUACAGCACCUUUGAUAGUUUCAAAAGUGAUAGUUACUUCUGAACAUACCAAAACAUGUAAGUCAUCUCUCUUAAGUAAAAUACAUUAUUAGGUCAUGACUUCAGAUA